Molecule: ribosomal RNA, 729 nt
Filed under: uncultured bacterium
Lineage: Bacteria
Description: bacterial SSU rRNA
Rfam family: Bacterial small subunit ribosomal RNA
Source: RNAcentral
AACAGGAUUAGAUACCCUGGUAGUCCACGCCCUAAACGAUGUCUACUAGUUGUCGGGUUUUAAUUAACUUGGUAACGCAGCUAACGCGUGAAGUAGACCGCCUGGGGAGUACGGUCGCAAGAUUAAAACUCAAAGGAAUUGACGGGGACCCGCACAAGCGGUGGAUGAUGUGGAUUAAUUCGAUGCAACGCGAAAAACCUUACCUACCCUUGACAUGUACGGAAGCCACGAGAGAUCGAGGUGUGCUCGAAAGAGAGCCGUAACACAGGUGCUGCAUGGCUGUCGUCAGCUCGUGUCGUGAGAUGUUGGGUUAAGUCCCGCAACGAGCGCAACCCUUGUCAUUAGUUGCUACAUUUAGUUGAGCACUCUAAUGAGACUGCCGGUGACAAACCGGAGGAAGGUGGGGAUGACGUCAAGUCCUCAUGGCCCUUAUGGGUAGGGCUUCACACGUCAUACAAUGGUACAUACAGAGGGCCGCCAACCCGCGAGGGGGAGCUAAUCCCAGAAAGUGUAUCGUAGUCCGGAUCGCAGUCUGCAACUCGACUGCGUGAAGUUGGAAUCGCUAGUAAUCGCGGAUCAGCAUGUCGCGGUGAAUACGUUCCCGGGUCUUGUACACACCGCCCGUCACACCAUGGGAGCGGGUUUUACCAGAAGUAGGUAGCUUAACCGCAAGGAGGGCGCUUACCACGGUAGGAUUCGUGACUGGGGUGAAGUCGUAACAAGGUAACC